GACUUGGUAGCUCAGCUGGUAGAGCAAUUGACUCUUAAUCAAUGGGUCGUGGGUUCGAGCCCCACCCAGGUCA
Molecule: transfer RNA, 73 nt
Filed under: Parabacteroides sp. PF5-6
Lineage: Bacteria; Pseudomonadati; Bacteroidota; Bacteroidia; Bacteroidales; Tannerellaceae
Also listed under: 3 other names
Description: tRNA-Lys
Rfam family: tRNA
About the family: Transfer RNA (tRNA) molecules are approximately 80 nucleotides in length. Their secondary structure includes four short double-helical elements and three loops (D, anti-codon, and T loops).
Source: RNAcentral